Cydia amplana is the source of this 260-nucleotide long non-coding RNA. RefSeq lists it as uncharacterized. NCBI's taxonomy places the organism in Eukaryota, Metazoa, Arthropoda, Insecta, Lepidoptera, Tortricidae. The record is from RefSeq and is a predicted model, not a curated record. The transcript has 2 exons.
UUUUUUUUCAUCAAACCCAUACGUGUGGGUUAUCUUAUGGAUAGGUCUUCAAAAAUGAUAUUGAAGUUUCUAAUAUCAUUUUUAGGUUUGCGCGAGAGACACUUCCAAAGUCGUAAAAUGUGUGUCCCCCCCUGUAACUUCUAAAAUAACAGAAUGAUAAAACUAAAAAAAAUAUAUGAUGUACAUUACCGUGUAAACUUCCACCGAAAAUUGGUUUGAACGAGAUCUAGUAAGUAGUUUUUUUUUUAAUACGUCAUAAA